GGCUGAUGGAGCUCAAUGGAAGGCAGGUGUACCGGUGGCCAGGGAGGAGCCAUGAGCGGAGCCAGGGGAGGAGCAAGGGGAGGAGCUAGGAGAGGAGACAGGGGAGGAGCUAGGGGAGGAGCCAGGGGAAGUGCCAUGGGAGGAGCCAGGGGAGGGGCCAGGGGAGCAGCUAGGAGAGGAGCUAGGAGAGGAGACAGGGGAGGAGCCAGGGGAGGAGCUAGGAGAGGAGCUAGGAGAGGAGCCAGGGGAGGAGUGGCACGCCCACUUCACACACAGAUAGACAAAGGGGAGAGAAACGAGGUGAGAAGGAAAAGCAGGAGCCACGGCUGAGGAACUAAUGACAUCCCCAUCAGCCUCAGCUGUGUCCCACUUUGUGUUUAGCGGUUGAGGUGAUUAGCAAAUGAUAGCAUGCUGAUGGUGAACGUUAAAGCUGCUUAGCAUCAGCAUGUUGACGGUCCCUAAAGCUGGGCUCAGAGGAGUUUUAAAAAUCAGGUUUCGGUCAAACUUAGUUAUGGAAAGAUUGUGAUAAACUGUUGGAAGGAAACAGGAAACUAACUGAUCUCCUAAAAGCGGUAAUUAUAUACAACGUGAUACACCGGUAAGGCUCUGCUGGAGGAAAAGGGGUGCUAAAAUGUGCUUUUAGUCCUUUCUGAUUGUAUUUGAGUCGUUUAUUUCUUUGGAAAAAGGUUGUCUUUCCUUUUCACACCUUUUUUUCUACUAUAUUGUUUUAUAAGUUUCCUUUUAAAUCCGAUGCCGUGGCUUUUGAAGAGUGUUAUGUAAAGGUUUUAAAUUUUCCCUGCCAGGUGAGGUAUACAUAUUAGCUAUUUGGCUUAUCUUCUUUUGCUGUAGUGUUGCAGACAAUAUUUAAUACUGUUUUAUAAUCAGCAUUGAGUGUCAGGGAUUUGAGUAUUUACAUUUAAAGAUACAAAUUAACAAAAAAAAAACCUGACACAUUUCCAUCAAAAAGCAAAACAAAUCAAUUAAAAGUAUUUUUCACCAGAAACUCGGUUUCUGUUCAUUAAAUGGAUGACUUGGAUAUUAUGGGUGUAACAAUGUUGUUAUGAAUAAAUUAUUCUAUUCCACAGUGGCUCCAGAGUGACUGUGUUCAGUCAAAUUCUGUCUCUUGAACACAAAUCAAAACAGCAACGACCGUUUUUAGUGGUGAAGGUCACAUCAUUUCAACACAAACACAAUCUACAAUUCCAUCAUCAACUGCCAUUUAUUAGUAUCAAACCACUGCUACAAAAUUACAUCAAACAUGAUGAAAAUGGACUUGCAUACGUGCUAUACACAAUGUAAGCUUUAAAAUAAUUAAAGUACAUGAAUCAUAAUAUAUAUUUAUAUAUAUUUUAUAUAUAUAGAUAUACCAAUGCCACUUAAAGCCAUAUAUAUCAUUCCAGUGAUCUAGAGCCUAUAAAUGUACAACUACAUCCCUGGUGGCUAACAGACCUUCAUACACAUUUGAGUAGAUAUUUCAAUUCCAGACUGUUUCAGCAUGACGAUUUGCAUAAAACAAACAAAUAAAAGUCUGUGUAAAAAAAAAAAAACCUUGGACGUUCCUGUUAACCUUUAUGAUGAUGAAUCUCAUUUAUUUUUGUAGAAAGAGGAACAGAAAUCAGCAUAAGUACAUAUAUUCAAUUUGGCAAACCAACGAAAUGCUGCACCUCGUUCCCUUGAACUCGAGGUCACUCCCAUCUAAACAAAUGUAACACCGAAGACAAAGAUGAUGAACUGGUGCUACAAAGAACCCAUUUCUUGCGUCUUUCAUUGUAAAAAAACCCACAAUGUGUAAUCUGCCUUUUGGGGCAUGAAAACAAAUGAAGUUGGAUUACAUUUACCGCCAGUCAAACGAUG
Gasterosteus aculeatus aculeatus (three-spined stickleback) is the source of this 1854-nucleotide long non-coding RNA. The record is from Ensembl. NCBI's taxonomy places the organism in Eukaryota, Metazoa, Chordata, Actinopteri, Perciformes, Gasterosteidae.